This 253-nucleotide ribosomal RNA is filed under the name uncultured bacterium. RNAcentral's name for it is "partial 16S ribosomal RNA". It matches the Rfam family "Bacterial small subunit ribosomal RNA", at positions 524 to 776 of the family's 1533-position model. The record is from RNAcentral.
UACGUAGGGAGCAAGCGUUGUCCGGAAUCAUUGGGCGUAAAGCGCGCGUAGGUGGCCCUGUAAGUCCGUCGGGAAAGUCAAAGGCUCAACCUUUGAAAGCCGAUGGAUACUGCAGGGCUGGAGUACGGAAGAGGCGAGUGGAAUUCCUGGUGUAGCGGUGGAAUGCGCAGAUAUCAGGAGGAACACCAAUAGCGAAGGCAGCUCGCUGGGACGUUACUGACACUGAGGCGCGAAAGCGUGGGGAGCGAACAGG